This 340-nucleotide long non-coding RNA is filed under the name Olea europaea subsp. europaea. The record is from RNAcentral. Lineage: Eukaryota; Viridiplantae; Streptophyta; Magnoliopsida; Lamiales; Oleaceae.
GAGGACUUCUAUGGUUGACAUCAGGGGCGGACCCAGACCGUUCGAACUGUGGGGUCAAAAUUUUUUUUUUUUCGAACAAUGUAUCAUGAAUAAAAAGGAAAAAUCGGUUGUUUGCUGUUCAUGUUCGAUAUUUGCACUUUGAGAAGAAAUAGGUGGAUUAUAUGAUAUAUCUAUGGACUAAAUAAUGGAUAUGGACCAUGUGAUAUGGAUAUAGAUUUAGGAUUUGGACUUUUUGGGGGUAGAAAAUUAAAUUUUCAGCAAAAAAAAAAAAAAAAAAUUCCAGAAAACUGUGGGGUCAUUUGACCCCCACAUGACCCCAUGUGGGUCCGCCCCUGGUUGA